UUUAUCCUCUUUGUAUCGAAACGGCGUAUUUCCAUGCUCUUUUAAGUACGUUUCUAAUGUGGACAACAGGAAACGAUGCCACGUACACGGGAAAAUCGUUUCAAUGAAAACAUUCUCGAGGAAAGACGAGUCUUAAACAGUUUCAAGAUGAUCGCGAAAAAAGAAAGUUUCGAUUUAAUUGGAGGGGAAGGAUUAAUUCUCGACAUUGAACUUGGAAUAUUCAGGAUUCUUUGGGCGAUGGCGACGAGAGCGCUACAGCACGGUUUUCAAAGCGGCGACCAGAUUCAAGGACUGCCUCGCUUCGCGAUGCAGAUCGAUCGAACCAGUCACGGUUGUAUACGGUGUCUACCGCAUCCUGUCAUUUUCGAAACCAACCACCCUUCAUCUUCAAGAAUCUUCAAAGCGUAAAUAAAAUAUUAAACGUGACACUUUUAUAUUUGUCGCGUUAAUCGAUAAAAAUAAAGAUAUCGAUUUGUUACAAAAAAGCUUGUUCACUAAAAUUUUAGAAUAUUCCUCUUGAACUAGUUAACAACCUCCUAAGUAUCACAUACGAGACUAUGGUUUUUUAAGAACUUCCAUCCGAAAGAGAUACUCGGACAACCUUCGCAAGUUACAGCUGUCAAGUUGACAGUUCUGUACUAACCAAACAUCAACACAUUUAUCCUGACCAAACUAACGAGAUUCAUUGGAAAGGGAAAAAUCAAUAAAACGUGUUUCUAGAAAAAAGGAAAAGGCGUCUGUUGCCGUCUCGGAAGGAGCAAACCGGAUAUCCAGCAAGAGGGCUGGAGGAGCCGCAGUGCGGUAAAGAGGCGGGCAAGCGAAUCGGUUCCG
Bombus pyrosoma is the source of this 831-nucleotide RNA transcript. RefSeq lists it as uncharacterized. NCBI's taxonomy places the organism in Eukaryota, Metazoa, Arthropoda, Insecta, Hymenoptera, Apidae. The record is from RefSeq and is a predicted model, not a curated record. The transcript is spliced from 2 exons.